RNAcentral lists this long non-coding RNA (1560 nucleotides) under Homo sapiens (human). Its description in RNAcentral is "HSALNT0236387". The record is from RNAcentral. Lineage: Eukaryota; Metazoa; Chordata; Mammalia; Primates; Hominidae.
CCAAAGUGCUGGGAUUCCAGGCGUGAGUCACUGCGCCCAGCCCUUAUUUCUAACUUUAUUUAUUGAUGAGUAUGUAUUCAAUAGGUAACUUGGGGAUUCCUGUGGUGCUGGACUAUACAAAAAGAUCCUAUUAAAUCUUGAUAUAUUUAAAUCUCAUCCAAACUGGUAACAAUUUCCCUAGUAGAAAACUUGGCUUUAUUAUACGUUCCCAGUAUAAAAUCUCAGCCAAAUUACACAUGUCCAGAGGAAAAAAAAUUGUUUUGUCAAACCAAUUGGUAGAUUUUCCAUGAAUGUUCAACAGUCAAUAAAUAUUGCCUACCAUGUGCCAGGUUUUGUGCUGGACAUUGGGAAUACAGCACUGAGACAAUUUCCAUCCCAAAGGAGCCCCCAGAUUAGAAAGGAGGAUGGAAAGUAACCAGGUAAUUAUAAUUAUAAUAUAUAAUAAUUAUAAUACAAAGGGAGAAGUAUUUCCAUAGGGCCAAGUAUGGGAGCUGUGAGAGCUCAGAGUUCAUUGAUUCAUUCAUUCAACCCAGUUGAUUAUUCAACAUAUUUAUUGAGCAUCUACAAUGUACCUGGGCACUGUGCUAGGAACAGGGAAAACAGUAGAGGAAAGAAGGACACAUUCCCUGCCCUCAUGUUGCUUUGGGUCUAGUGGAGGAGAGAGACAGAUAAGCAAUAAUUAUAACAUGCUAAUGCUAUGAAAGGAGAGCAUCCAGGAGGCACCAACCCAAGUUGGGUCAUGAGGAAAGGGUAGCCAAGAUGAAAUGGGAAGGAUCCAAAGGUGGGGAAGAAUGUUUCAUACAGAGGAAUAGCGCUGUGCACAGGGCAAGAGGGACCAUAGUGAAGGUCAUUUUAUUUUAUUAUUAUUAUUUUUUUUUUGAGAUGGAGUCUUGCUCUGUCACCCAGGCUAGAGUGCAGUGGUGCAACCUAGGCUCACUGCAACCUCUGCCUCCCAGGUUCAGGUGAUUCUCCUGCCUCAGCCUCCCGAGUAGCUGGGAUUACAGGCAUGUGCCACCACACCCGGCUGCGUUUUGUAUUUUUAGUAGAGACGGGGUUUCACCAUCUUGGCUAGGCUGGUCUCAAACUCCUGACCUCAUGAUUCACCCACCUCGGCCUCCCAAAGUGCUGGGAUUACAGGUGUGAGCCACUGCGCCCGGCCUGUGAAGGUCAUUUUAAGUGGCUGGAGCAAAAAACUUGGGCAGAGUGGAGGUUGCAAGGGGGUUGGGGGAGAAGAGUUUGGCAAAAGAUAAUCAGUGACCAGAUCCUGACAAAUCUUGUAAGCCAUGUUAAAGAGUUUGGUCUUUUUCUGGGGUUAACGGGCAAAGAGAAGAUUUAAGCAAAGGAAUGAAGUGGUCAGAUGUUCACUUUAGGAAGUCACUGGGUGCCAUGUAGAAAGUGGACGGCAGGUGAGGUGCCAGAGGCAGGGGAGCAGUCAGGGGGCUGUUGAUAUUCUCCUGGCAAGCGCUGGCAAUUGUCUGACCUCAGAACAGUGACGGAGAGACGUGGACUCAUUGGAGAACCACGUGGGAGGCACAAGUAACAUGCCCCUUUUCUUUCCUG